AAAUAAGAAGCAAUUAAUAAUGCAUUUAAUUUCGACUUAAAAGAAAGAGUUUAAAUAACUCCUUAUUUA
Molecule: transfer RNA, 69 nt
Filed under: Milionia basalis
Lineage: Eukaryota; Metazoa; Arthropoda; Insecta; Lepidoptera; Geometridae
Description: tRNA-Arg
Source: RNAcentral